CGAAGGUAGCGCAAUCACUUGUCUUUUAAAUGGAGACCUGUAUGAAUGGCAUAACGAGGGCUUAGCUGUCUCCUUUUUCAAGUCAAUGAAAUUGAUUUCCCCGUGCAGAAGCGGGGAUAAAACCAUAAGACGAGAAGACCCUAUGGAGCUUUAGACACCAAAGCAGAUCAUGUUAAGCACCCCUAAAUAAAGGACUAAACCAGAUGACCCCUGCCCUAAUGUCUUUGGUUGGGGCGACCGCGGGGAAACAAAAAACCCCCACGUUGAAUGGGAAUACCCUCUCCUACAGCUACGAGCUCCCGCUCUAGUAAACAGAAUUUCUGACCUUACAGAUCCGGCAACGCCGAUCAACGGACCGAGUUACCCUAGGGAUAACAGCGCAAUCCUCUUUUAGAGCCCAUAUCGACAAGGGGGUUUA
Molecule: ribosomal RNA, 418 nt
Filed under: Kyphosus analogus (blue-bronze sea chub)
Lineage: Eukaryota; Metazoa; Chordata; Actinopteri; Centrarchiformes; Kyphosidae
Description: partial 16S ribosomal RNA
Rfam family: Bacterial large subunit ribosomal RNA
Source: RNAcentral